Molecule: ribosomal RNA, 739 nt
Filed under: Pseudomonas putida
Lineage: Bacteria; Pseudomonadati; Pseudomonadota; Gammaproteobacteria; Pseudomonadales; Pseudomonadaceae
Description: bacterial LSU rRNA
Rfam family: Bacterial large subunit ribosomal RNA
Source: RNAcentral
CUGAAUAUGGGGGGACCAUCCUCCAAGGCUAAAUACUACUGACUGACCGAUAGUGAACCAGUACCGUGAGGGAAAGGCGAAAAGAACCCCGGAGAGGGGAGUGAAAUAGAACCUGAAACCGUAUGCGUACAAGCAGUGGGAGCCUACUUUGUUAGGUGACUGCGUACCUUUUGUAUAAUGGGUCAGCGACUUAUAUUCAGUGGCGAGCUUAACCGAAUAGGGGAGGCGUAGCGAAAGCGAGUCUUAAUAGGGCGUUUAGUCGCUGGGUAUAGACCCGAAACCGGGCGAUCUAUCCAUGGGCAGGUUGAAGGUUAGGUAACACUGACUGGAGGACCGAACCGACUACCGUUGAAAAGUUAGCGGAUGACCUGUGGAUCGGAGUGAAAGGCUAAUCAAGCUCGGAGAUAGCUGGUUCUCCUCGAAAGCUAUUUAGGUAGCGCCUCAUGUAUCACUGUAGGGGGUAGAGCACUGUUUCGGCUAGGGGGUCAUCCCGACUUACCAAACCGAUGCAAACUCCGAAUACCUACAAGUGCCGAGCAUGGGAGACACACGGCGGGUGCUAACGUCCGUCGUGAAAAGGGAAACAACCCAGACCGUCAGCUAAGGUCCCAAAGUCAUGGUUAAGUGGGAAACGAUGUGGGAAGGCUUAGACAGCUAGGAGGUUGGCUUAGAAGCAGCCACCCUUUAAAGAAAGCGUAAUAGCUCACUAGUCGAGUCGGCCUGCGCGGAAGAUGUAACG